AAGAUCAUACUUCACAGGAUCAUUUCUGUAGUAUAUCUUCACAUACUCUACAUUCAAUUGUGGAGUUGUUGCAACCGUGAUGAUGAUAUGUAGCGUUGCGAUCUGAGCGUGAGAAGGAUUGAUUCUAAGACUUUGUAGGACUUGGAUGAAGUCAUCGAUGAUCGUUCGUCUAAUCUCUUGGGAUUAGAUUAUGGUUGUGAUGCAAUCCGAGCGGU
This 215-nucleotide small nucleolar RNA is filed under the name Onthophagus taurus. RNAcentral's name for it is "small nucleolar RNA U3". It matches the Rfam family "Small nucleolar RNA U3". From Rfam's summary of the family: Small nucleolar RNAs (snoRNAs) are involved in the processing and modification of rRNA in the nucleolus. There are two main classes of snoRNAs: the box C/D class, and the box H/ACA class. Lineage: Eukaryota; Metazoa; Arthropoda; Insecta; Coleoptera; Scarabaeidae. The record is from RNAcentral.